UAAAUUGAAGCCGAAUGUAUAGGCGCUUAGCUGUUAACUAAGAGAUAGUGGGACAAACACCCACCAAUUUAG
This 72-nucleotide transfer RNA is filed under the name Spilocuscus maculatus. RNAcentral describes it as "tRNA-Asn". It matches the Rfam family "tRNA". From Rfam's summary of the family: Transfer RNA (tRNA) molecules are approximately 80 nucleotides in length. Their secondary structure includes four short double-helical elements and three loops (D, anti-codon, and T loops). Further hydrogen bonds mediate the characteristic L-shaped molecular structure. tRNAs have two regions of fundamental functional importance: the anti-codon, which is responsible for specific mRNA codon recognition, and the 3' end, to which the tRNAs corresponding amino acid is attached (by aminoacyl-tRNA synthetases). tRNAs cope with the degeneracy of the genetic code in two manners: having more than one tRNA (with a specific anti-codon) for a particular amino acid; and 'wobble' base-pairing, i.e. permitting non-standard base-pairing at the 3rd anti-codon position. Lineage: Eukaryota; Metazoa; Chordata; Mammalia; Diprotodontia; Phalangeridae. The record is from RNAcentral.